RNAcentral lists this ribosomal RNA (393 nucleotides) under Leptocylindrus sp. RNAcentral describes it as "partial small subunit ribosomal RNA". It matches the Rfam family "Eukaryotic small subunit ribosomal RNA", at positions 582 to 975 of the family's 1831-position model. Lineage: Eukaryota; Bacillariophyta; Leptocylindrophyceae; Leptocylindrales; Leptocylindraceae. The record is from RNAcentral.
AUUCCAGCUCCAAUAGCGUAUAUUAAAGUUGUUGCAGUUAAAAAGCUCGUAGUUGGAUUUCUGGUGCAUUCCACUGGCCUAUUGGUUAACUCCAACUUGGCUCAUUUGGAAUACGCCAUCUUUAGGCAGACCCGUCGUGGCAUUAGGUUGUCGUGAUGGUUACGCCUAUCGUUUACUGUGAAGAAAUUAGGGUGUUCAAAGCAGGCUUAUGCCAUGAAUACGUUAGCAUGGAAUAAUUAGAUAGGACUAUGGUACUAUUUUGUUGGUUUGUGCACCAUGGUAAUGAUUAAUAGGGACAGUUGGGGGUAUUCGUAUUCCAUUGUCAGAGGUGAAAUUCUUGGAUUUAUGGAAGACGAACUACUGCGAAAGCAUUUACCAAGGAUGUUUUCAUCA